UUUUUUUUUUUUUUUCUUUACUUUAUGAAAACCCCAAACAAAUGAUUCUUCUUAAUUGUGAAACUGAUUGCAUCUAAAAUUAUGAUAUUUUGAAUUCAAUAAACUCGUGCAUAUUUCUGAUUAAAAUGUACUCCAUAAACCUUAAAAAAAAUUCGGUAUAGAGACGUCGUAUGUUUGGGUGUCGUUCGUUAUUAUUGAGCUUCUGUUAGAGAUGAUUUGAGACACCGUCAACCGACGACGCUAAGAACAAAUCUAGUGAUGGUUAAGCAUCUUUGUCUCUCAAUUCAUUUAUCGUUAUAGUCUCACCUAUGUCAUCGCCAAUAUAAUUUCUAUCCCGUUCACUAUCACCACCUUCUCUUCAACCGCAAUAUAUUCUUCAUUCACAUCACCAUCACCUCCUCCGCCACUAACAUACAAUUCAACACAACCACUACAAUGUUAAAUUUACUUCACUCACCUAUCACAACCACUACAAUGUU
Molecule: long non-coding RNA, 479 nt
Filed under: Arabidopsis lyrata
Lineage: Eukaryota; Viridiplantae; Streptophyta; Magnoliopsida; Brassicales; Brassicaceae
Description: long non-coding RNA (ALYR_LNC001439)
Source: RNAcentral